RNAcentral lists this ribosomal RNA (1222 nucleotides) under metagenome. RNAcentral's name for it is "bacterial SSU rRNA". It matches the Rfam family "Bacterial small subunit ribosomal RNA", at positions 266 to 1498 of the family's 1533-position model. The record is from RNAcentral.
CACCAAGGCAACGAUCAGUAGGGGUUCUGAGAGGAAGGUCCCCCACAUUGGAACUGAGACACGGUCCAAACUCCUACGGGAGGCAGCAGUGAGGAAUAUUGGUCAAUGGGCGAGAGCCUGAACCAGCCAAGUAGCGUGCAGGACGACGGCCCUAUGGGUUGUAAACUGCUUUUAUAAGGGAAUAAAGUGAGUCUCGUGAGACUUUUUGCAUGUACCUUAUGAAUAAGGACCGGCUAAUUCCGUGCCAGCAGCCGCGGUAAUACGGAAGGUCCGGGCGUUAUCCGGAUUUAUUGGGUUUAAAGGGAGCGUAGGCCGGAGAUUAAGCGUGUUGUGAAAUGUAGACGCUCAACGUCUGCACUGCAGCGCGAACUGGUUUCCUUGAGUACGCACAAAGUGGGCGGAAUUCGUGGUGUAGCGGUGAAAUGCUUAGAUAUCACGAAGAACUCCGAUUGCGAAGGCAGCUCACUGGAGCGCAACUGACGCUGAAGCUCGAAAGUGCGGGUAUCGAACAGGAUUAGAUACCCUGGUAGUCCGCACGGUAAACGAUGGAUGCCCGCUGUUGGCCUGAAUAGGUCAGCGGCCAAGCGAAAGCAUUAAGCAUCCCACCUGGGGAGUACGCCGGCAACGGUGAAACUCAAAGGAAUUGACGGGGGCCCGCACAAGCGGAGGAACAUGUGGUUUAAUUCGAUGAUACGCGAGGAACCUUACCCGGGCUUGAAUUGCAGAGGAAGGAUUUGGAGACAAUGACGCCCUUCGGGGCCUCUGUGAAGGUGCUGCAUGGUUGUCGUCAGCUCGUGCCGUGAGGUGUCGGCUUAAGUGCCAUAACGAGCGCAACCCCUCUCCUUAGUUGCCAUCAGGUCAUGCUGGGCACUCUGGGGACACUGCCACCGUAAGGUGUGAGGAAGGUGGGGAUGACGUCAAAUCAGCACGGCCCUUACGUCCGGGGCUACACACGUGUUACAAUGGCAGGUACAGAGAGACGGUCCCUUGCAAAAGGGAUCAAAUCCUCAAAGCCUGUCUCAGUUCGGACUGGGGUCUGCAACCCGACCCCACGAAGCUGGAUUCGCUAGUAAUCGCGCAUCAGCCAUGGCGCGGUGAAUACGUUCCCGGGCCUUGUACACACCGCCCGUCAAGCCAUGAAAGCCGGGGGCGCCUAAAGUCCGUGACCGUAAGGAGCGGCCUAGGGCGAAACUGGUAAUUGGGGCUAAGUCGUAACAAGGUA